This 500-nucleotide ribosomal RNA is filed under the name uncultured bacterium. RNAcentral's name for it is "partial 16S ribosomal RNA". It matches the Rfam family "Bacterial small subunit ribosomal RNA", at positions 30 to 523 of the family's 1533-position model. The record is from RNAcentral.
AUUGAACGCUGGCGGAAUGCUUUACACAUGCAAGUCGAACGGCAGCACGGACUUCGGUCUGGUGGCGAGUGGCGAACGGGUGAGGAAUGUAUCGGAACGUGCCCAGUCGUGGGGGAUAACGUAGUGAAAAUUACGCUAAUACCGCAUACGAUCUAUGGAUGAAAGCGGGGGAUCGAAAGACCUUGCGCGAUUUGAGCCGGCGAUAUCGGAUUAGGUAGUUGGUGGGGUAAAGGCCCACCAAGCCAACGAUCUGUAGCUGGUCUGAGAGGACGACCAGCCACACUGGAACUGAGACACGGUCCAGACUCCUACGGGAGGCAGCAGUGGGGAAUUUUGGACAAUGGGCGGAAGCCUGAUCCAGCCAAUCCGCGUGCAGGAUGAAGGCCCUCGGGUUGUAAACUGCUUUUGUACAGAACGAAAAGGUUUCUACUAAUACUAGGAGCUCAUGACGGUACUGUAAGAAUAAGCACCGGCUAACUACGUGCCAGCAGCCGCAGUAA